This 534-nucleotide ribosomal RNA is filed under the name uncultured Thermoplasmatales archaeon. Its description in RNAcentral is "bacterial SSU rRNA". It matches the Rfam family "Archaeal small subunit ribosomal RNA", at positions 339 to 874 of the family's 1478-position model. Lineage: Archaea; Methanobacteriati; Thermoplasmatota; Thermoplasmata; Thermoplasmatales. The record is from RNAcentral.
GCGCGAAAACUUCGCACUGUGCGAAAGCACGACGAGGGAAUCCCAAGUGCUGGCUCGUUAGAGUCAGCUGUUUUUAUGUCUAAAAAGCAUAGAGAGUAAGAGCUGGGUAAGACGGGUGCCAGCCGCCGCGGUAAUACCUGCAGCUCGAGUGGUGGCCGCUAUUAUUGGGCCUAAAACGUCCGUAGCCUGUUUACUAAAUGCCUAGGUAAAUUGUGUGGCUUAACCAUACGAAUUCUGGGUAGACUGGUAAACUUGAGAUCGGGAGAAGCUAGAGGUACUCCUGGGGUAGAGGUGAAAUUCUGUAAUCCUAGGGGGACCACCAGUGGCGAAGGCGUCUAGCUAGAACGAGUUUGACGGUGAGGGACGAAGCCCUGGGGCGCAAACGGGAUUAGAUACCCCGGUAGUCCAGGGUGUAAACGCUGCUUGCUUGAUGUUGGUUGGGCUCCGAGCCCAAUCAGUGUCGGAGAGAAGUUGUUAAGCAAGCUGCCUGGGAAGUACGGUCGCAAGACUGAAACUUAAAGGAAUUGGCGGGGG